AGUGAACGCUGGCGGUAGGCCUAACACAUGCAAGUCGAACGGCAGCACAGUAAGAGCUUGCUCUUACGGGUGGCGAGUGGCGGACGGGUGAGGAAUACAUCGGAAUCUACUUUUUCGUGGGGGAUAACGUAGGGACACUUACGCUAAUACCGCAUACGGCCUACGGGUGAAAGCAGGGGAUCUUCGGACCUUGCGCGAUUGAAUGAGCCGAUGUCGGAUUAGCUAGUUGGCGGGGUAAAGGCCCACCAAGGCGACGAUCCGUAGCUGGUCUGAGAGGAUGAUCAGCCACACUGGAACUGAGACACGGUCCAGACUCCUACGGGAGGCAGCAGUGGGGAAUAUUGGACAAUGGGCGCAAGCCUGAUCCAGCCAUACCGCGUGAGUGAAGAAGGCCUUCGGGUUGUAAAGCCCUUUUGUUGGGAAAGAAAAGCAGCAGGUUAAUACCCCGCUGUUCUGACGGUACCCAAAGAAUAAGCACCGGCUAACUUCGUG
Molecule: ribosomal RNA, 492 nt
Filed under: uncultured bacterium
Lineage: Bacteria
Description: partial 16S ribosomal RNA
Rfam family: Bacterial small subunit ribosomal RNA
Source: RNAcentral